This 570-nucleotide ribosomal RNA is filed under the name Acremonium sclerotigenum. RNAcentral's name for it is "eukaryotic LSU rRNA". The stretch from base 204 to 357 matches the Rfam family "5.8S ribosomal RNA". The record is from RNAcentral. RNAcentral also lists the same sequence under 1 other name. Lineage: Eukaryota; Fungi; Ascomycota; Sordariomycetes; Hypocreales; Bionectriaceae.
AAGUCGUAACAAGGUCUCCGUUGGUGAACCAGCGGAGGGAUCAUUACCGAGUGUAAAAACUCCCAAACCAUUGUGAACCUACCACUGUUGCUUCGGCGGCCUCGCCCCGGGCGCGUUCGCGCGGCCCGGACCCAGGCGUCCGCCGGAGGCUCCAAACUCUUGUCUUUUAGUGUAUUUCUGAGUGGCAUAAGCAAAUAAAUCAAAACUUUCAGCAACGGAUCUCUUGGUUCUGGCAUCGAUGAAGAACGCAGCAAAAUGCGAUAAGUAAUGUGAAUUGCAGAAUUCAGUGAAUCAUCGAAUCUUUGAACGCACAUUGCGCCCGCCAGUAUUCUGGCGGGCAUGCCUGUCUGAGCGUCAUUUCAACCCUCAGGACCCGUUCGCGGGACCUGGCGUUGGGGAUCAGCCUGCCCCUGGCGGCGGCUGGCCCUGAAAUCCAGUGGCGGUUCCCUCGCGAACUCCUCCGUGCAGUAAUUAAACCUCUCGCGGCAGGAUAGCGGUUGAACCACGCCGUUAAACCCCCCACUUCUCAAGGUUGACCUCAGAUCAGGUAGGAAUACCCGCUGAACUUAA